Molecule: small RNA, 66 nt
Rfam family: Bacillaceae-1 RNA
Source: Rfam
AUCAGCUCCGCGUCGGCGAAAUCGCAACGUCCUGUUGCAUCGCCGACAUGACGCACAUCGUGUGCG